UUUAAACAAAAAAAAAAAAAGUUGAAACUUUUAUUAAUUCUAUCCAAAGUUGGUGCUGUUACAUGAUUCUGUAGUGAUUCUAAAAUUACAUUUCAUACACAAAUGGAUGAUGACAUAAUAAAUCUUGCAAUUAUUCUAUUUUACAUUGUUGAAAGUGCAAAACCGUUAUGUUUCCACUUUCUCUAUGAUGACAUUAUCUGCAGAGCUUCUCUUUUAUUUCCAAGUAUGUUGAGUACUGUUGCUGCAACGUGAGAUGGCGUUAGACCAGCCUCUAUCAACUGGACAGACGGGGAUCCAUGGUCAAUAUACCUAUCUGGAAGAACGAGUGGCCGCCACUGCCAUUGUUUUUUUUUUAAUCAGAAAGUAUGAAGACAUAUUAAGUGUUUUUGCAAAUUGAAAACAAAUAAAUAUAGAGAAAAUCAUCAUAAGAAAAUAUUAACUCUGCAUAUUCCUAAGAAGAAUGGUUACUGUUGAACUUGAAAAAAAUCAUGAUAAUAACCAAUUGCUUAAGUGGUAAAUGGAAAAUUCAUUUAGAUCAGUACCUUCAGUUUGCCAUCAAGAAGACCAUCAAGGGCCAGAAAAUGUGCAACAUGAGAUCCAAAGCCCCCAAUUGAUCCUUCUUCAACCGUUAUCAAAACUUCAUGUGAUUUUGCUAGGCUUCGAAUGAGGGUGUGAUCCAAAGGUUUACAGAAUCUCGCAUCUGCUACUGUUAUAAGCAAGCCAUGGGGUUCCACUAAAGAGGCAGCAGCCAAACAGCUCUGAACUGCUGUCCCAUAACCCAAGAGUGCCACUCUUUCCCCUUCAAUCAAUAUCCUGCCUUUUCCAACCUCAAGAGGAAUGCCUUUGUUUCCUGGUGGCAGCUGAACACCAACACCGUUACCUCUUGGAUAUCGGAAGCAGCUAGGACGAUCAUCUAUGGCGGCAGCGGUGGCAACCAUGUGAAAAAGUUCUGCCUCAUCAGAAGGAGCCAUCACAACCAUGUUAGGGAGACAUGCCAUAAAAGUGACAUCAAAAGCUCCACAAUGUGUGGGACCAUCUGCUCCAACCAGCCCAGCUCUGUCCAUUGCAAAUCUUACUGGCAGCUUCUGCAAAUCCACAUCAUGGACUACCUGGUCAUAAGCCCUCUGCAUGAAAGAUGAGUAGAUUGCACAAAAUGGUUUAAGGCCUUCACAGGCUAAUCCUGCAGCAAAUGUAACUGCAUGCUGUUCCGCUAUUCCAACAUCAAAGCAUCUUGUUGGGAAACGGCGAAGGAAGAGAUUUAAGCCUGUUCCACCUCCCAUUGCAGCAUGAAUUGCAACAAUAUCCUUGUCCACUUCUGCUUCUGCAAUCAAAGCCUCUGCAAAGUAUGUAGUGUAAGACUGUGUAAUAGCACUGCCCUUGAAUUGUUUUCCAGUUGCAGGAUCAAACUUGGUAACCCCAUGGUACUUGUCUGCAGCUUUCUCAGCAUAUGGAUACCCCCGACCUUUCUCAGUGACAACAUGUAUCAAGACUGGACCAGUUGUUUUAGUACCCUUAACCUCUUUGAGAAUAGCUAUAAGAUCAUCUAUGUUGUGGCCAUCAACAGGACCAAUAUAAUAUAAUCCAAGCUCUUCGAAGAGGGUUGAUCCAGAACCACUGAUCAUCCCACGAGCAUAUUCAUCAACCUUUGCUGCCCAUUCAUGCAUGGGUCCACCAAUCUGCUUUGUAACACCCUUAGCAACCUCUCUUAGUUCCCUGAGAGGCCUGUUUGAUUGCAACCUACUAAGAGCACUGCUCAAAGCUCCCACUGGUGGUAUGGGUCCAUCAAGAGUAGCAGUCGGUAAAGAAACUUGUUUGUUGUCAUUAAGAAUAACAAUCAUAUCAGAGUCAAGAUACCCUGCAUUGUUCAUAGCUUCAUAAGCUUGUCCUGCUGUCAUGGCACCAUCACCUAUAACAGCAACUACGUUGUUCUUUUUUCCUUUUAAAUCUCUCCCAACUGCCAUCCCCAAGCCUGCAGAAAUAGUGGUAGAGCUAUGGCCAGUCCCAAAGCAAUCAUAUUCACUCUCUGAUCGCUUCGUGAAACCAGAAAGUCCAUUUGUCUGUCUGAUUGUGUACAUCUUUUCUCUUCUCCCAGUCAGGAUUUUGUGUGGGUAGGACUGAUGACCAACAUCCCACAGAAUCUUGUCUUGAGGAGCAUUGAAAACAUAGUGAAGAGCCACAGUGAGCUCAACAACACCAAGACUUGAUCCUAAGUGACCCCCAGUUCUAGAAACAUUGAAAAUAACAUCGGACCGCAGCUCGUCUGCUAGUUGCUUUAGUUCCUUGAUUGAUAGAUUUUUCAUAUGAAUUGGAUAGUUUGUGGUAUCCAAGAGAGGGGUUGGUGGUCUCUGAGAGUGAUAUUCUCCUCUCUCUGACAGUGAUGCACAAAUCCCACCCGGCCCUUUCUUGCUCUUUGCCUGAUUGAGUCUGCCAAGAGACUGGGCCAACAGAUCUGUUCUCCAUAAGGAACGAGAAGGGACAUAACCGUACUUUUGAAGAUCUGAGAUUGUGGCUUUAUCUACAUGAGCAGGAAAUGAACACGCAGAGAGAGCCAUCACAGAUAGAGAACCAACAGAAGCAAGCAAGCAACAAAAAGAGUUCAAAAACAGUUCGAAAUUGUGAAUAGAGAUAAAAAGAAGAGGAAGAAGAACCCAGAAACAAAAACACAAUGGAGAUUGUGAUUAUGGGUCCGAAUGCACCACUAUUGAGGAGGUGAUUCAGUAUUAAAAUCAGCUUGUGGUGGCCAACAAAGAAGAUGUCGAGAGGGGUUUUAGGAGCG
RNAcentral lists this unclassified non-coding RNA (2776 nucleotides) under Hevea brasiliensis (rubber tree). Lineage: Eukaryota; Viridiplantae; Streptophyta; Magnoliopsida; Malpighiales; Euphorbiaceae. The record is from RNAcentral.